CCUACGGGAGGCAGCAGUGGGGAAUAUUGGACAAUGGGGGGAACCCUGAUCCAGCCAUGCCGCGUGUGUGAAGAAGGCCCUCGGGUUGUAAAGCACUUUCAGUGAGGAAGAACGCCUGGUGGUUAAUACCCAUCAGGAAAGACAUCACUCACAGAAGAAGCACCGGCUAACUCCGUGCCAGCAGCCGCGGUAAUACGGAGGGUGCGAGCGUUAAUCGGAAUUACUGGGCGUAAAGCGCGUGUAGGUGGCUUGAUAAGCCGGUUGUGAAAGCCCCGGGCUCAACCUGGGAACGGCAUCCGGAACUGUCAAGCUAGAGUGCAGGAGAGGAAGGUAGAAUUCCCGGUGUAGCGGUGAAAUGCGUAGAGAUCGGGAGGAAUACCAGUGGCGAAGGCGGCCUUCUGGACUGACACUGACACUGAGGUGCGAAAGCGUGGGUAGCAAACAGGAUUAGAUACCCCUGUAGUC
RNAcentral lists this ribosomal RNA (465 nucleotides) under Vreelandella stevensii. RNAcentral's name for it is "partial 16S ribosomal RNA". It matches the Rfam family "Bacterial small subunit ribosomal RNA", at positions 338 to 795 of the family's 1533-position model. Lineage: Bacteria; Pseudomonadati; Pseudomonadota; Gammaproteobacteria; Oceanospirillales; Halomonadaceae. The record is from RNAcentral.